This 520-nucleotide ribosomal RNA is filed under the name uncultured Glomus. RNAcentral describes it as "SSU rRNA". It matches the Rfam family "Eukaryotic small subunit ribosomal RNA", at positions 569 to 1091 of the family's 1831-position model. Lineage: Eukaryota; Fungi; Glomeromycota; Glomeromycetes; Glomerales; Glomeraceae. The record is from RNAcentral.
AGCAGCCGCGGUAAUUCCAGCUCCAAUAGCGUAUAUUAAAGUUGUUGCAGUUAAAAAGCUCGUAGUUGAAUUUCGGGGUUAGUAGGUCGGUCAUGCCACUGGUAUGUACUGGUCCCACUGAUUCCUCCUUCCUGAUGAACCGUAAUGCCAUUAAUUUGGUGUUGCGGGGAGACUGGACUGUUACUUUGAAAAAAUUAGAGUGUUUAAAGCAGGCUAACGCUUGAAUACAUUAGCAUGGAAUAAUGAAAUAGGACGUUCGAUCCUAUUUUGUUGGUUUCUAGGAUUGACGUAAUGAUUAAUAGGGAUAGUUGGGGGCAUUAGUAUUCAAUUGUCAGAGGUGAAAUUCUUGGAUUUAUUGAAGACUAACUACUGCGAAAGCAUUUGCCAAGGAUGUUUUCAUUAAUCAAGAACGAAAGUUAGGGGAUCGAAGACGAUCAGAUACCGUCGUAGUCUUAACCAUAAACUAUGCCGACUAGGGAUCGGAUGAUGUUAAUUUUUAAUGACUCAUUCGGCGCCUUAC